UCAACUUCCGAUGUGGGACA
This 20-nucleotide non-coding RNA is filed under the name Arabidopsis thaliana (thale cress). The record is from RNAcentral. Lineage: Eukaryota; Viridiplantae; Streptophyta; Magnoliopsida; Brassicales; Brassicaceae.